Molecule: ribosomal RNA, 662 nt
Filed under: uncultured fungus
Lineage: Eukaryota; Fungi
Description: eukaryotic LSU rRNA
Rfam family: Eukaryotic large subunit ribosomal RNA
Source: RNAcentral
CCCGCUGAACUUAAGCAUAUCAAUAAGCGGAGGAAAAGAAACCAACAGGGAUUGCCUUAGUAACGGCGAGUGAAGCGGCAAUAGCUCAAAUUUGAAAUCUGGCGCUUUUGGGCGUCCGAGUUGUAAUUUGUAGAGGAUGUUUCGGUAUUGGCUCCAGUCUAAGUCCCUUGGAACAGGGUGUCGCAGAGGGUGAGAAUCCCGUACGCGACUGGCUGCCUUUGCCAUGUGAAACUCCUUCGACGAGUCGAGUUGUUUGGGAAUGCAGCUCUAAUUGGGAGGUAAAUUUCUUCUAAAGCUAAAUACUGGCCAGAGACCGAUAGCGAACAAGUACCGUGAGGGAAAGAUGAAAAGCACUUUGGAAAGAGAGUGAAACAGUACGUGAAAUUGUUGAAAGGGAAACGCUUGAAGUCAGUCGCGUCGUCCGAGACUCAGCCUCGCCUCGGCUUGGCGUACUUCUCGGCCCGACGGGUCAGCAUCGAUUUCGCCUCUCGGAUAAUGGCGAGGGAAAAGUGACACCUUUACGGUGUGUUAUAGUCUCUCGUCGCAUGCGAGGGUCGGGAUUGAGGAACUCAGCACGCGCCCUCGGGCGUCGGGGCUUUCGCCCACGAUACGUGCUUAGGAUGUUGGCGUAAUGGCUUUAAACGACCCGUCUUGAAACACGG